GACGUAGGAUGCAAGCGUUGUUCGGAUUUAUUGGGCGUAAAGCGUACGUAGGCGGUUCGGUAAGUGGGAGGUUAAAGACCAGGGCUCAACCCUGGGAGUGCCCCCCAAACUGUCGGACUAGAGGAUCAUAGGGGAAGGUGGAAUUCCGAGUGUAGCGGUGAAAUGCGUAGAUAUUCGGAGGAACGCCAGUGGCGAAAGCGACCUUCUGGGUGACACCUGACGCUGAGGUACGAAAGCAUGGGGAGCAAACAGG
This 253-nucleotide ribosomal RNA is filed under the name uncultured bacterium. RNAcentral's name for it is "partial 16S ribosomal RNA". It matches the Rfam family "Bacterial small subunit ribosomal RNA", at positions 524 to 776 of the family's 1533-position model. The record is from RNAcentral.